GAUGAACGCUGACGGCGUGCCUAAUACAUGCAAGUCGAGCGAACGGACGAGAAGCUUGCUUCUCUGAUGUUAGCGGCGGACGGGUGAGUAACACGUGGAUCACCUACCUAUAAGACUGGGAUAACUUCGGGAAACCGGAGCUAAUACCGGAUCAUAUUUUGAACCGCAUGGUUCAAAAGUGAAAGACGGUCUUGCUGUCACUUAUAGAUGGAUCCGCGCUGCAUUAGCUAGUUGGUAAGGUAACGGCUUACCAAGGCAACGAUGCAUAGCCGACCUGAGAGGGUGAUCGGCCACACUGGAACUGAGACACGGUCCAGACUCCUACGGGAGGCAGCAGUAGGGAAUCUUCCGCAAUGGGCGAAAGCCUGACGGAGCAACGCCGCGUGAGUGAUGAAGGUCUUCGGAUCGUAAAACUCUGUUAUUAGGGAAGAACAUAUGUGUAAGUAACUGUGCACAUCUUGACGGUACCUAAUCAGAAAGCCACGGCUAACUACGUG
Molecule: ribosomal RNA, 497 nt
Filed under: uncultured bacterium
Lineage: Bacteria
Description: partial 16S ribosomal RNA
Rfam family: Bacterial small subunit ribosomal RNA
Source: RNAcentral